This 321-nucleotide ribosomal RNA is filed under the name uncultured bacterium. RNAcentral describes it as "bacterial SSU rRNA". It matches the Rfam family "Bacterial small subunit ribosomal RNA", at positions 495 to 799 of the family's 1533-position model. The record is from RNAcentral.
AUAUCGCGAGGUGUCAGCCGCCGCGGUAAUACGUAGGGGGCAAGCGUUAUCCGGAUUUACUGGGUGUAAAGGGAGCGGUAGACGGCAAGGCAAGUCUGUAAAGUGAAAGCCCGGGGACUUAACCCGCGGGACUGCCUUUGGAAACUGUCUGGACUGGAGUGCCGGAGAGGUAAGGCGGAAUUCCGUAGUUGUAGCGGUGAAAUAGCGUAGAUAUUAGGAGGAACACCAGUGGCGAAGGCGGCUUACUGGACGGUAACGUGACGUUGAGGCUCGAAAGCGUGGGGAGACAAACAGGGAUUAGAUACCCGUGGUAGUCCACCG